CAGCAUGUUGGUAGCUGAAAGCCAAGGGCGGUAGCGUA
Regulatory RNA element from Chania multitudinisentens RB-25, 38 nucleotides. It matches the Rfam family "JUMPstart RNA". The record is from Rfam. Lineage: Bacteria; Pseudomonadati; Pseudomonadota; Gammaproteobacteria; Enterobacterales; Yersiniaceae.